Molecule: ribosomal RNA, 1439 nt
Filed under: Limosilactobacillus fermentum
Lineage: Bacteria; Bacillati; Bacillota; Bacilli; Lactobacillales; Lactobacillaceae
Description: bacterial SSU rRNA
Rfam family: Bacterial small subunit ribosomal RNA
Source: RNAcentral
GCAGUCGACGCGUUGGCCCAAUUGAUUGAUGGUGCUUGCACCUGAUUGAUUUUGGUCGCCAACGAGUGGCGGACGGGUGAGUAACACGUAGGUAACCUGCCCAGAAGCGGGGGACAACAUUUGGAAACAGAUGCUAAUACCGCAUAACAGCGUUGUUCGCAUGAACAACGCUUAAAAGAUGGCUUCUCGCUAUCACUUCUGGAUGGACCUGCGGUGCAUUAGCUUGUUGGUGGGGUAACGGCCUACCAAGGCGAUGAUGCAUAGCCGAGUUGAGAGACUGAUCGGCCACAAUGGGACUGAGACACGGCCCAUACUCCUACGGGAGGCAGCAGUAGGGAAUCUUCCACAAUGGGCGCAAGCCUGAUGGAGCAACACCGCGUGAGUGAAGAAGGGUUUCGGCUCGUAAAGCUCUGUUGUUAAAGAAGAACACGUAUGAGAGUAACUGUUCAUACGUUGACGGUAUUUAACCAGAAAGUCACGGCUAACUACGUGCCAGCAGCCGCGGUAAUACGUAGGUGGCAAGCGUUAUCCGGAUUUAUUGGGCGUAAAGAGAGUGCAGGCGGUUUUCUAAGUCUGAUGUGAAAGCCUUCGGCUUAACCGGAGAAGUGCAUCGGAAACUGGAUAACUUGAGUGCAGAAGAGGGUAGUGGAACUCCAUGUGUAGCGGUGGAAUGCGUAGAUAUAUGGAAGAACACCAGUGGCGAAGGCGGCUACCUGGUCUGCAACUGACGCUGAGACUCGAAAGCAUGGGUAGCGAACAGGAUUAGAUACCCUGGUAGUCCAUGCCGUAAACGAUGAGUGCUAGGUGUUGGAGGGUUUCCGCCCUUCAGUGCCGGAGCUAACGCAUUAAGCACUCCGCCUGGGGAGUACGACCGCAAGGUUGAAACUCAAAGGAAUUGACGGGGGGCCCGCACAAGCGGUGGAGCAUGUGGUUUAAUUCGAAGCUACGCGAAGAACCUUACCAGGUCUUGACAUCUUGCGCCAACCCUAGAGAUAGGGCGUUUCCUUCGGGAACGCAAUGACAGGUGGUGCAUGGUCGUCGUCAGCUCGUGUCGUGAGAUGUUGGGUUAAGUCCCGCAACGAGCGCAACCCUUGUUACUAGUUGCCAGCAUUAAGUUGGGCACUCUAGUGAGACUGCCGGUGACAAACCGGAGGAAGGUGGGGACGACGUCAGAUCAUCAUGCCCCUUAUGACCUGGGCUACACACGUGCUACAAUGGACGGUACAACGAGUCGCGAACUCGCGAGGGCAAGCAAAUCUCUUAAAACCGUUCUCAGUUCGGACUGCAGGCUGCAACUCGCCUGCACGAAGUCGGAAUCGCUAGUAAUCGCGGAUCAGCAUGCCGCGGUGAAUACGUUCCCGGGCCUUGUACACACCGCCCGUCACACCAUGAGAGUUUGUAACACCCAAAGUCGGUGGGGUAACCUUUUAGGAGCCAGC